UGAGUACGAGCUGCUACGGCAGCGAAGUGGAUGAUGUCAAGCUUCCAAGAAAAGCCCUAUACCCGUUAAGGCAUGACGGCCUGUACCCGAAACCGACACAGGUGGGGUGGUAGAGAAUACCGAGGGGCGCGAGAUAACUCUCUCCAAGGAACUCGGCAAAAUGGCCCCGUAACUUCGGGAGAAGGGGUGCCACCGCGAGGUGGUCGCAGUGAAGAGGCCCAGGCGACUGUUUACCAAAAACACAGGUCUCCGCCAAGUCGCAAGACGAUGUAUGGGGGCUGACGCCUGCCCAGUGCCGGAAGGUUAAGGAAGCCGGUCAGCGUAAGCGAAGCUGGCGACUGAAGCCCCGGUGAACGGCGGCCGUAACUAUAACGGUCCUAAGGUAGCGAAAUUCCUUGUCGGGUAAGUUCCGACCCGCACGAAAGGCGUAACGAUCUGGGCGCUGUCUCGGAGAGAGGCUCGGCGAAAUAGAAUUGUCUGUGAAGAUGCGGACUACGUGCACCCGGACAGAAAGACCCUAUGAAGCUUUACUGUAGCUUGGUAUUGUGCUCGGGCUCUGAAUGCGCAGGAUAGGUGGGAGGCUUUGAUCCAUUGCUUGUGGGUGAUGGUGAGCCACUGGUGAGAUACCACUCUUUCAGAGCUAGGGUUCUAACGGUCACCCGUUAUCCGGGGACCGGACAGUAUCAGGUGGGCAGUUUGACUGGGGCGGUCGCCCCCUAAAGGUAACGGAGGCGCGCAAAGGUUCCCUCAGGCUGGUUGGAAAUCAGCCGACGAGUGCAAAGGCAGAAGGGAGCUUGACUGUGAGACCAACAAGUCGAACAGGGACGAAAGUCGGCCUUAGUGAUCCGACGGUUCUGAGUGGAAGGGCCGUCGCUCAACGGAUAAAAGUUACUCUAGGAUAACAGGCUGAUCUCCCCCAAGAGUUCACAUCGACGGGGAGGUUUGGCACCUCGAUGUCGGCUCAUCGCAACCUGGGGCUGAAGUCGGUCCCAAGGGUUGGGCUGUUCGCCCAUUAAAGCGGUACGCGAGCUGGGUUCAGAACGUCGUGAGACAGUUCGGUCCAUAUCCGGUGCAUGCGCAGGAACAUUGAGAGGAUUUCUCCCUAGUACGAGAGGACCGGGAGGAACGCACCUCUGGUGUACCAGUUAUCGUGCCAACGGUAAACGCUGGGUAGCCAUGUGCGGAGCGGAUAACCGCUGAAAGCAUCUAAGUGGGAAGCCCACCUCAAGAUGAGUGUUCCCA
Molecule: ribosomal RNA, 1242 nt
Filed under: metagenome
Description: bacterial LSU rRNA
Rfam family: Bacterial large subunit ribosomal RNA
Source: RNAcentral